CAGUCGACGGUGAACUUGGGAGCUUGCUCUCGGGGGAUCAGUGGCGAACGGGUGAGUAACACGUGAGUAACCUGCCCUUGACUCUGGGAUAAGCACUGGAAACGGUGUCUAAUACCGGAUACGAGCUUCAGCCGCAUGGCUAGGAGCUGGAAAGAACUUUGGUCAAGGAUGGACUCGCGGCCUAUCAGCUAGUUGGUGAGGUAAUGGCUCACCAAGGCGACGACGGGUAGCCGGCCUGAGAGGGUGACCGGCCACACUGGGACUGAGACACGGCCCAGACUCCUACGGGAGGCAGCAGUGGGGAAUAUUGCACAAUGGGCGCAAGCCUGAUGCAGCAACGCCGCGUGAGGGACGAAGGCCUUCGGGUUGUAAACCUCUUUUAGUAGGGAAGAAGGGAGCUUGCUCUUGACGGUACCUGCAGAAAAAGCACCGGCUAACUACGUGCCAGCAGCCGCGGUAAUACGUAGGGUGCAAGCGUUAUCCGGAAUUAUUGGGCGUAAAGAGCUCGUAGGCGGUUUGUCGCGUCUGCUGUGAAAACUGGAGGCUCAACCUCCAGCCUGCAGUGGGUACGGGCAGACUAGAGUGCGGUAGGGGAGAUUGGAAUUCCUGGUGUAGCGGUGGAAUGCGCAGAUAUCAGGAGGAACACCAAUGGCGAAGGCAGAUCUCUGGGCCGUAACUGACGCU
Molecule: ribosomal RNA, 684 nt
Filed under: Salinibacterium sp. Y4_344_2
Lineage: Bacteria; Bacillati; Actinomycetota; Actinomycetes; Micrococcales; Microbacteriaceae
Description: bacterial SSU rRNA
Rfam family: Bacterial small subunit ribosomal RNA
Source: RNAcentral